UACGUAGGGUGCAAGCGUUAAUCGGAAUUACUGGGCGUAAAGCGUGCGCAGGCGGUUUUGUAAGUCUGUCGUGAAAUCCCCGGGCUCAACCUGGGAAUUGCGAUGGAGACUGCAAGGCUAGAAUCUGGCAGAGGGGGGUAGAAUUCCACCUGUAGCAGUGAAAUGCGUAGAGAUGUGGAGGAACACCGAUGGCGAAGGCAGCCCCCUGGGUCAAGAUUGACGCUCAUGCACGAAAGCGUGGGGAGCAAACAGG
Molecule: ribosomal RNA, 253 nt
Filed under: uncultured bacterium
Lineage: Bacteria
Description: partial 16S ribosomal RNA
Rfam family: Bacterial small subunit ribosomal RNA
Source: RNAcentral